UACGUAGGCAGCAAGCGUUGUUCGGAGUUACUGGGCGUAAAGGGUGUGUAGGCGGUUGUUUAAGUUUGGUGUGAAAUCUCCCGCUCAACCGGGAGGGUGCGCCGAAUACUGAAUAACUAGAGUGCGGGAGAGGAAAGUGGAAUUCCUGGUGUAGCGGUGAAAUGCGCAGAUAUCAGGAGGAACACCUGUGGUGUAGACGGCUUUCUGGACCAUAGCUGACGCUGAGACACGAAAGCGUGGGUAGCAAACAGG
RNAcentral lists this ribosomal RNA (252 nucleotides) under uncultured bacterium. RNAcentral describes it as "partial 16S ribosomal RNA". It matches the Rfam family "Bacterial small subunit ribosomal RNA", at positions 524 to 776 of the family's 1533-position model. The record is from RNAcentral.